Molecule: ribosomal RNA, 404 nt
Filed under: uncultured bacterium
Lineage: Bacteria
Description: partial 16S ribosomal RNA
Rfam family: Bacterial small subunit ribosomal RNA
Source: RNAcentral
GAUGAACUCUGAUAGCAUGCUUAACAUAUGCAAGUCAACUGUGGCGGACGGGUGAGUAACGAGUAAAGAACUUGCCUCACAGAUAGGGACAACAUUUGGAAACGAAUGCUAAUACCUGAUACUGUGAGAGUGCUUUGCGUCCCAUUCGCUAUUUGGAGAGGUAACGGCUCACCAAGGCGAUGAUGGUUAGCCGGCCGGAGAGGGUGAUCGGCCACAAGGUGACUGGUACACUGCCCUUACUCCUACGGGAGGCAGCAGUGGGGAGUAUUGUACAAUGGACAAAAGUCUGAUCCAGCAAUUCUGUGUGCACGAUGAAGUUUUCGGAAUGUAAAGUACUUUCAGUUGGGAAGCGGUACCAACAGAAUAAGUGACGGCUAAAUACGUGCCAGCAGCCGCGGUAAUAC